GUGGGGAAUUUUGGACAAUGGGCGCAAGCCUGAUCCAGCCAUUCCGCGUGCAGGAUGAAGGCCUUCGGGUUGUAAACUGCUUUUGUACGGAACGAAAAGCCUCUGGUUAAUACCCGGGGGUCAUGACGGUACCGUAAGAAUAAGCACCGGCUAACUACGUGCCAGCAGCCGCGGUAAUACGUAGGGUGCGAGCGUUAAUCGGAAUUACUGGGCGUAAAGCGUGCGCAGGCGGUGCUGUAAGACAGGCGUGAAAUCCCCAGGCUCAACAUGGGGAUUGCGCUUGUGACUGCAGUGGUGGAGUACGGCAGAGGGGGAUGGAAUUCCGCGUGUAGCAGUGAAAUGCGUAGAUAUGCGGAGGAACACCGAUGGCGAAGGCAGUCCCCUGGGCCUGUACUGACGCUCAUGCACGAAAGCGUGGGGAGCAAACAGGAUUAGAUACCCGGGUAGUCC
Molecule: ribosomal RNA, 450 nt
Filed under: uncultured bacterium
Lineage: Bacteria
Description: partial 16S ribosomal RNA
Rfam family: Bacterial small subunit ribosomal RNA
Source: RNAcentral